AUGGCAUUCUAUUUCUUUUUCUUCUUCUUUGGUGGUUCAUCCUCAGAGCUGCUCUCUGUGCUGGUGCUGGUGCUGCUGCUCCUGGAAGAGCUGGAAUCUGAGUCUGAAUCAGAGGAGGAGGAAGAGGUUGUGGAGGAGGAUGAAGAUGAGGAACUGGAGGAGCUUUCAUCAGUGGGGUGGUGUCGCUGUCCUCUGAGGAGGAGGAUGGAGAGGUUUCUUCACUUUUCUGAUGAAGAACCACUGGCUGAACUGUCGCUGCUACUGCUGCUGGAACUGGUUACACUCUUAGACCUUUGUUGCAGUAAUAAUAAUAAUCUGUUUCCUUUUUCUUUUAAAGCUUUCUUUAGUUCUGCUGUCCUUGAAGGCCUAUGCAGGUAUUUUCUUUUUCCGGUGCAUUCAUAAGUCCAGUGUCUAAAUUCCAAGCAUUUCUGACAUCUUACAUGCUGUUCAUUUGCUUCAGCUUGUCUCUGAGCUAUGAGCCGAUGCAUGGGAGUUGCCAUCUUAGCGUGGCCUGAUCCCCUUUUAUAGUCAGUUCAUAUCUAAGUCAGUCAUUUGCUGUCGGAUAAGUAUAUUUUAAGUAAACACAUGAUAAGCACUCUUCAUAUACUUUCUAGUUAUUUGGCUAAUUAAUAUGAUUCCAUACAACUUCACUCAACUUCACCACUACCCAAGCAGGCCAUGUCUUCUUAUGCAAGAGGAGGCACCAUAUUUUAUUGGGUGGGUAUGAGGCCUUUCAGAUAUUGGAUUACUUCAACAAAAAAAAAAUAACAAACUGAUCACAAGAGCUUUUUUUUUCUUUUUUAAAAUAUUUUAUUUAUUCAUUCAUGAGAGACAAAAAAAAAAAAAAAGGCAGAGGUAGAAGCAGGCUCCCCCUGGAGCAGGGAGCCUGAUGCAGGGCUUGAUCUCAGGACCCUGGAGCCAAAGGCAGAUGCUUACCCAACUGAGCCAUUCAGGCACCCCAAGAGCAUUUUUCUUAAAGGAAAUAUACUUCCAAACUCUACAGUUAUUUUAUUACAAACUUGUAAAACACAGAAAAAAAUAUAAUUUUUAAAUCUUACGGUACUUAGUUUUCCUUACAUUACUAUUACCAUUGUAUCUUAAAUGUCAAUCAUAGAUAUAUUUGUAUACAUAUAUAACUUUUACCUUGAUCCCUCCCUCCACCUGCAUAAUGACCGCCGGCGAUGCAUACAUCAUAUGCACAUGGGUAUAUGUGUGCCUGUGCACACAGGUUGACUUCUGGUGAGUCAGAAACAUUAACUAUAGGAGAAACAUGUAUUUUCAUUUAAUACAUACAGGACAACAUAUUUAUACACUUAUGUGUGUUAACUUCAGGGAAUUUUUAAAUGACAAUCUUCACAAGUAUAUGACAUUUAAUAAUGAGCUAGUUACUAAAUUAAGCUUAUCUAAAACUUCUCAUUUGAAAUCUAAUAGUUAAUUGGUCAUCUUAAGCUCUCUUUGCCAAAGUCGGCAAAUAAAGAAAAAGUAAAUAGAAGAUGGAAGACAAGGGGCGCCCAGGUGGCUCAGUCAGUUAGGCAUCUGCCUUCAUCUCACGUUAUGAUCUAAGGGUCCUGGGAUUGAGUCCCACAUCAGGCUCCCUGCUCAGCAGGGCAUCGGCUUCUCCCUCUGCCCCUGCCCCCUCUCGUGCUCUCACUUUCUCUCAAAUAAACUAAAUCUUAAUUUAAAAAAAAAGAAAAGAAAAAGGAAGACAAAAGUAUGAAUAAACAAAAGUCUGGCAAUUUUCUCAAAAAUAAGUGUAUAAUAUAAAUUUAAUAAUUACAUGAAUUUUGGUGAGAAGGCAAAAAAAAUGAUAACAUAGUUCAUCCAGAAAAGUUUGUGUAAAAAAAUUUAGGAAUAUUUUGAAAGAAAAAAAACUACUAUAAAAAUACAUUAAAAAGCAAAUUUAACUAUAGCAGCUCAUAACUAGCCCUGGAAUAAACAGAAAGAUUUAAUGAAGUAGAGAGCCCAGAAAUAAGUUCAAGGACACAAUGAAAUUUAGUGAAUGACAAAGGUGGCAACUGAAAUCUGUAGAGAAUAGAUGUUUUUACUGAGAAAUGGUAUUUGGACAACUAGCCAGCAAUUUGGGGGAAAAAAAGGAAUAAAAAGGGUUGAAGCAAUUUUUACUUCAAAAUAAAUACCCAGUAAUCAAAGAUUUCAUCGCAAAAAUUAAAACUGUAAGUGAUCUAAAAGAGAGCAUUCAGCUAAUUAAAAACAUAAUAAUUUGUAGUGAUCUGAGUAUAGAAGGCCAUCACACUUUAGACAAAACCCUAAAACCACAAAGAUAAAAAGACUGAUAAGUUUGACCACAUAAAAUGGAAAAACUUUUGUGUAGCCAAAAAAAGUACAAACCAAAUCAAAGAGUAAAAUAGAGGAAAUAUUUGACACAGACAAAAAGCUUAGUAAAUAUAUAAGAAUUUUUAGAAAUCAGUAGUAUGUUCAACCCAAGAGAAAGAAAAUGAUCAUAGGACAGGAGUAAUAUAUAGCACAAAAAAAGGGCAAAAAUGGUAAAACAACACAGAACUAUGCUGAAAGUGAGACACAACAAAAGAAAUGCAUCACAAUAAUAAUGUGAUUUUUCCCCCUACUCAUAUGUUUGACAAUUUCCAAUGCUGUCAAAGGUGUGAGGAAACUUGCAUUCUGUAUCAAUGAUAUAACUGUAAUUUUUUUAUAACUGUAAUUUUUAAGGCGACUUGUGAAAUCUACCAGUAAUACCCAACAAACAUGAAAAUACGUUUAUCUGCAUUAGCAAUCAUGGAAAUACAAAUUAAAACAGCAAGAUUCUGUUUUUUUUUUUUAAGAUUUUAUUUAUUUAUUCAUGAGAGACACAGAGAGAGAGGGGUGGGGGCAGAGACACAGGCAGAGGGAGAAGCAGGCUCCAUCCAGGGAGUCCGACAUGGGACUCGAUCCCAGGACUCCAGGAUCAGGCCCUGGGCUGAAGCGGCGCUAAACCACUGAGCCACCCAGGCUGCCCAAGAUUCUGUUAUAUGCACCAAAGAAUGGCUAAAAUUAGUAAGACAUUUAAUACCAACUAUUAGUAAGAUAUAUAACAGCAGGGAUUUUCUUAUACUGUCAGUUGGGAAAUAAAUUGGUACAACCCAUUUCGAAAAUUGGUAUCAUCUUCUUUAAUAAAUAUAUGCGUAAUUUAUGACCCAGCUCAACUAAUUAUACAUACAACCAAAAAAACUUGCAUAUGUUCACUGUGUUGAGACCAUCAUUUGUAAUAUUCCCUUAAUGGAAACCCAAUUAUUCAUCUGUCACAGUAUGGAUUAUUCAGGUGGUAUUCACAAAGUGAGUAGUAUAGAACAAUGAAAAUGAAUCAAGGACUGAUAUACAGAACUUCAAUGAAGAAUUUGUCAAGUAUCAUGUUAAGUGAAAGAAGCCAGAUAGGAAAGUGAUUCCAUGUAUAUAGAGACCAAACAAAAUUUAAGUUAGAAGUCAGAAUAGUGGAGAGGAAGGAAAAAGAAGGGAAAAAAAGGUUGGAGUAGCGAUUGGCUAUGGUCCAAAGGAUGCUUCUAGAUUGCUAUUUCAUAUUUCCUGACCUGCCCAGUAGUCACUCAUUUGUGAUUAUUCUUUGAGCUUUGUUUUAUGCAAAUGAUCUGAAUGUGUACGAUAUUUAACCAUAAAAAGUUUAUAAAACAAGAAAGAGUAGGUUAAAGAAAAAAGAAUAAAGAGAUACCAGUAUAAUUUUUAAUACUCAAGAAAACUGCAGGUUGUCAUAAUAAUAAUAACAGCUCCAAAGCCAGUAAUUUAAAAAUAGAAAUGCAAACACAGAUUCAACUGGAUGGUAGGUUAAUCAUCCAUUGAUUUUAAC
Molecule: long non-coding RNA, 3808 nt
Filed under: Canis lupus familiaris (dog)
Lineage: Eukaryota; Metazoa; Chordata; Mammalia; Carnivora; Canidae
Description: lncRNA (ENSCAFG00030007045.1)
Source: RNAcentral